Molecule: ribosomal RNA, 291 nt
Filed under: uncultured bacterium
Lineage: Bacteria
Description: partial 16S ribosomal RNA
Rfam family: Bacterial small subunit ribosomal RNA
Source: RNAcentral
GUGCCAGCAGCCGCGGUAAUACGUAGGGGGCAAGCGUUGUCCGGAAUUAUUGGGCGUAAAGCGCGCGCAGGCGGUCAAUUAAGUCUAGUGUUUAAACCUAGGGCUCAACCUUAGGUCGCACCGGAAACUGGUUGACUUGAGUGCAGAAGAGGAGAGUGGAAUUCCACGUGUAGCGGUGAAAUGCGUAGAGAUGUGGAGGAACACCAGUGGCGAAGGCGACUCUCUGGGCUGUAACUGACGCUGAGGCGCGAAAGCGUGGGGAGCAAACAGGAUUAGAUACCCUGGUAGUCC